AUUCCAGCUCCAAUAGCGUAUAUUAAUGUUGUUGCAGUUAAAAAGCUCGUAGUUGGAUUUCUGGAUUGAGCGGCUGGCCUUGCGCGCAAGCGUUCGUGUCGGCUUCGUUUCGGUCCAUCCUCAGGGGGACUUGCGCUGGCAUUAACGUGUCGGUGUUGGGACGCCUGUCGUUUACUGUGAACAAAUUAGAGUGUUCAAAGCAAGGUGUACUUGAAUACAUUAGCAUGGAAUAAUAAGAUAGGACUUUGGUGGUUCUUUUUGAUAUUUUGUUGGUUUGCACGCCAAAGUAAUGAUUAAUAGGAGCAGUUGUGGGUAUUCGUAUUCAAUUGUCAGAGGUGAAAUUCUUGGAUUUAUAGAAGACGAACUACUGCGAAAGCAUUUACCAAGGAUGUUUUCAUUG
This 400-nucleotide ribosomal RNA is filed under the name Pseudopedinella sp. RNAcentral describes it as "partial small subunit ribosomal RNA". It matches the Rfam family "Eukaryotic small subunit ribosomal RNA", at positions 582 to 975 of the family's 1831-position model. Lineage: Eukaryota; Dictyochophyceae; Pedinellales. The record is from RNAcentral.